CCCUGGAGUCUUCGCUGCUCAAUAAUUUUGCAUAAGCCAUAAAAAAUGAUUUCAUUUUCGAUCAGAUGUUUACUUAUCGUAGAAGCAUUUUAUCUUCUGCUCUGUAAAAAAUUUAAUCACAGACAGGAGGACCCUGCAGGGUCUGGAAGGCUAUUAACAGAGCAGGAGAUAAUAAAUUCUAAAUUAAACAGACUCUGCAAUAAAGGGAGUGUAAAAAUGAAAUCUUUCUUUACAGGAAGUGUUU
Pelobates cultripes (western spadefoot toad) is the source of this 244-nucleotide non-coding RNA. The record is from the annotation of a GenBank genome assembly. Lineage: Eukaryota; Metazoa; Chordata; Amphibia; Anura; Pelobatidae.